This 72-nucleotide transfer RNA is filed under the name Bos taurus (domestic cattle). It matches the Rfam family "tRNA". Rfam says of the family: Transfer RNA (tRNA) molecules are approximately 80 nucleotides in length. Their secondary structure includes four short double-helical elements and three loops (D, anti-codon, and T loops). Further hydrogen bonds mediate the characteristic L-shaped molecular structure. tRNAs have two regions of fundamental functional importance: the anti-codon, which is responsible for specific mRNA codon recognition, and the 3' end, to which the tRNAs corresponding amino acid is attached (by aminoacyl-tRNA synthetases). tRNAs cope with the degeneracy of the genetic code in two manners: having more than one tRNA (with a specific anti-codon) for a particular amino acid; and 'wobble' base-pairing, i.e. permitting non-standard base-pairing at the 3rd anti-codon position. RNAcentral also lists the same sequence under 1 other name. Lineage: Eukaryota; Metazoa; Chordata; Mammalia; Artiodactyla; Bovidae. The record is from Rfam by way of RNAcentral.
UCCCUGCUGGCUCAGACGGUAAAGAAUCUGCCUGCAACGCAGGAGACCCAGGUUCAACCCCUUGGUUGGGAA